RNAcentral lists this ribosomal RNA (624 nucleotides) under uncultured bacterium. RNAcentral's name for it is "bacterial SSU rRNA". It matches the Rfam family "Bacterial small subunit ribosomal RNA", at positions 243 to 858 of the family's 1533-position model. The record is from RNAcentral.
AGCUAGUUGGUAAGGUAACGGCUUACCAAGGCGACGAUACGUAGCCGACCUGAGAGGGUGAUCGGCCACACUGGAACUGAGACACGGUCCAGACUCCUACGGGAGGCAGCAGUAGGGAAUCUUCCGCAAUGGGCGAAAGCCUGACGGAGCAACGCCGCGUGAGUGAUGAAGGUCUUCGGAUCGUAAAACUCUGUUAUUAGGGAAGAACAUACRUGUAAGUAACUAUGCACGUCUUGACGGUACCUAAUCAGAAAGCCACGGCUAACUACGUGCCAGCAGCCGCGGUAAUACGUAGGUGGCAAGCGUUAUCCGGAAUUAUUGGGCGUAAAGCGCGCGUAGGCGGUUUUUUAAGUCUGAUGUGAAAGCCCACGGCUCAACCGUGGAGGGUCAUUGGAAACUGKAAAACUUGAGUGCAGAAGAGGAAAGUGGAAUUCCAUGUGUAGCGGUGAAAUGCGCAGAGAUAUGGAGGAACACCAGUGGCGAAGGCGACUUUCUGGUCUGUAACUGACGCUGAUGUGCGAAAGCGUGGGGAUCAAACAGGAUUAGAUACCCUGGUAGUCCACGCCGUAAACGAUGAGUGCUAAGUGUUAGGGGGUUUCCGCCCCUUAGUGCUGCAGCUAACGC